This 435-nucleotide ribosomal RNA is filed under the name uncultured bacterium. RNAcentral's name for it is "partial 16S ribosomal RNA". It matches the Rfam family "Bacterial small subunit ribosomal RNA", at positions 28 to 507 of the family's 1533-position model. The record is from RNAcentral.
GAUGAACGCUGGCGGUAUGCUUAACACAUGCAAGUCGAACGGACUCUUCGGAGUUAGUGUCGUACGGGUUAGUAACCCGUGAGAAUCUGGACUUGGGUUCGGGACAACCACUGGAAACGGUGGCCUAUGCCGGAUGUGCCGUGAUGUCAAAGAGAAAUUGCCUGAACAUGAGCCCGCGUUUGAUGAGCGAGUUGGUGAGGUAAAGGCACACCAAGGCAGCGAUCAGUAGCUGGUCUGAGAGGACGACCGGCCACGCCGGGAAUGCGACACAGCCCAGAGUCAUACGGGAGGAAGCAGUGAGGAAUUUUGCGCAAUGGGCGAAAGCGUGACGAAGCAAUACCGCGUGAGGGAAGAAGGCUCUUGGGUAGUAAACCUCUUUACGUAAGGAAGAACAACAUGACGGUACCUAAGGAGUCAGCCACGGCUAACUCCGUG